CAGCAGCCGCGGUAAUACAGAGGGUGCGAGCGUUAAUCGGAUUUACUGGGCGUAAAGCGUGCGUAGGCGGCUUCUUAAGUCGGAUGUGAAAUCCCUGAGCUUAACUUAGGAAUUGCAUUCGAUACUGGGAAGCUAGAGUAUGGGAGAGGAUGGUAGAAUUCCAGGUUUAGCGGUGAAAUGCGUAGAGAUCUGGAGGAAUACCGAUGGCGAAGGCAGCCAUCUGGCCUAAUACUGACGCUGAGGUACGAAAGCAUGGGGAGCAAACAGGAUUAGAUACCCCAGUAGUCCCUGUCUCUUAUAC
Molecule: ribosomal RNA, 301 nt
Filed under: uncultured bacterium
Lineage: Bacteria
Description: partial 16S ribosomal RNA
Rfam family: Bacterial small subunit ribosomal RNA
Source: RNAcentral